CCACCUUUUACCAACCUAAAGUUCCAACUCCAACUCAACCCUAAAUUGUCUAAAUCUUCUUCUCUCGCUAGGCCAAGUCUCUCUCUGGUUUCUAUACCCUUCUAGCCCCCCCUCUUUCUCCUAUGUAAAGACAUCAUAGGAAACUAUAAAGGCGCCGUGCCAUAGAACUUCUCCUCCUUUACUCUUCCGCGUGAACAACCUUACUUGGAAGUGUAACGGUUGUACAUUGAUCACUGCAAAGACAUCAUAGGAAAUUGUUGGUAAUCAAUUAACCACUGACUUUUCCCUCUCUCAAUCUCUCUCCCCUCUAUAUCUAUAUCUCUGCCUCAGUCUCUAUCUAUUUAAUACUUUUCCCGUUUCUUUUUAUUCCAAUCGAUUCUCUGAGGGUUUUCUAUUUUCUCUUUACUCCAAUCGAAUAUGGAAUCAUAGGUAUGAUUAAUCUCAAAAAGUUUUAUUUUUUGAUUGCUAGUUGCUACAAAGUUUGUAUUGUAAAUGAUGGAUUAUUUCCCUCUAUAUAGUGAUAAUUUGAUACUUUUUCAUGUUAUUUAUUUUUUUAAUAAAUAUAUUAAUCCAAUCAAUUUAUCUUUUGUUGGUUCGUACUAGAUUAUGGAUGUUAAUGCCAUCAUCCAUGGACAAGGUACUGCUCAAGUAGCUGGACAAGAUAUUACUGGAACCCAAGUUACUGAGCAAGACACUGCCCAAGCCCAAGUCAUUGGCAAGCGUUGCCGCAAGAACAAAAAAGGUAAACCCCCCAAAUCACAUAAUGAUAAUGCGGGGGAAAAUGGUGGUGGGAGGGUACCAUCAAGAGAUUGGAAUUAUUUUAAUAAAUUAGAAUUAAAAAAUAGCAUAAGGAAAGCUUAGUGCAAAUAUCAUCAAAAUGUGUAUGUAGCCGAUUCCAAGUUUCAUGGGACAAGUAACCUAUUGAGUCAUGCUGCAACAUGUGCAAAAAAUUCUUACAAUACUGAAGUGAAGGGACAACAAACCUUGGGUUUUCAACCUAAAAAAGAUGGAAAAGAGGGUGUAGAACUUGUGUCCUUGAGCUUUUCAGUGGGAAGCUGCUAGAAGAGCUCUUGCUGAGAUGAUUGUAAUUGAUGAGUUAUCCUUUACGUUUGUUGAAGGAGUUGGGUUUAGGAGAUUUUGUGGUGUCUUACAACCUAAGUUUAAGACCAUCCUAUCUUGUACCAUCAUAACUCGAGACAUUGUGGGAAUUUUUAAUCGUGAGAAAGAUAAGUUAAAAAAAACAUUAAGGGGUCGUAGAGUUUGUCUAACCAUAGAUACAUGAACAUCAAUACAGAAUCUGAAUUAUAUGUGCCUUCCUGCUCAAUUUAUUGAUGAUGAUUGACAAUUUCAGAAAAGGAUAAUUAAUUUUUGUCAAGUUGAAGAUCAUAAGCGAGAUAUACUAGGUAAAAAAAUUGAAAUGUGCUUGUUGGAGUGGAACAAUGAUAGCACAUUUACCUUAACAGUAGAUAAUGCUAGUUCUAAUAACAAUACUAUCAAAUUCUUGAAGAGGAAAAUAAAAUAUUUGAGAGGGACUAUUUUGGAGCAUGAGUUUCUACAUAUGCGUUGCUUGUGCCCAUAUUUUGAUCUAAUUGUGGGUGAUGGAUUUAAAGAACUAAACACUCUAUUGCUCGUGUGCAUGAUAUUGUGAGAUAUGUUUGACAUCCAAAAUAGGCUUGAGGUUUUGUAAAAAAUGGGUAGAAAGCAAAAAAAAUGAAUGUAAGAGUUUGUUGUGCAUUGAUGGACCAAUUAGUGGAACUUACCUAUCUAAGUUGGAAGCAACUUGUAAAUUUGAGAGUGCCUUGAGAGAAUGGAGGAGGAUGACACUAAUUUCAAAUAUCCACUAUUUGGAUUAUGAUAUUGGUGGCGAUGAGAUUAUAAUAGUAUAAGAAGCGUAACUUCUGCUCUUUCAACAAAGCAGAUUGGAAUAAUGCAGGGGUUUUUGUGAAUUCUUAAAACUUUUCUACAAUGCAACGAAGCGGGUUUUAGGCUCUCUUAUGUAUCUCAAAUUAUUUUUGAUGAAGAUGAUUGUGAUUCCAAAAAAUUUCAACAAUUAAUCAAUAGAAAGAGAUUUAUUUUGUCUUCAAUGGCAAAAAAAAUGAAAGAAAAGGUGAAUAAGUUAUAUAUGAUGUGGUACUUGAGUCUCGAAAUAAGUUGAGUAUUUGAAAUUUUGUUUGUCACAAUUCUUCAAGAAAAAUUGUGAAUGAGAUAACUAGUCAAGUAAAUAUUUCUUGAUUCAUUUAUAUGAGGUUUAUGCUUUAAUAGAUAAGUAAUAACUGUGGAAGUGCCUAGUGCAAGUGAAGUUCUAAGUGGAGGUAGAUGAUGACGGUGAUGAUCCACAUGCACUUAUAGCUGUCCACUUUAGCUUUUAUCUGGAGGAGGAGUCAAGUGUGUGCCAAACUGAGUUGACAAGUAACAGGGAGACUACUGUGAAGGUGC
This 2436-nucleotide long non-coding RNA is filed under the name Actinidia chinensis (golden kiwifruit). RNAcentral's name for it is "long non-coding RNA (ACHI_LNC004215)". Lineage: Eukaryota; Viridiplantae; Streptophyta; Magnoliopsida; Ericales; Actinidiaceae. The record is from RNAcentral.